RNAcentral lists this ribosomal RNA (372 nucleotides) under uncultured organism. RNAcentral describes it as "bacterial SSU rRNA". It matches the Rfam family "Bacterial small subunit ribosomal RNA", at positions 526 to 896 of the family's 1533-position model. The record is from RNAcentral.
CGUAGGUGGCAAGCGAUACUCGGAAUCACUAGGCGUAAAGCGCAGGUAGGAGGUUGGAUAAGUCUCUUGUGAAAGCUCCCGGCUUAACUGGGAGAGGUCAAGGGAACCUAUUCGGCUAGAGUGUGGUAGAGGUAGAUGGAAUUCCCGGUGUAGCGGUGAAAUGCGUAGAUAUCGGGAGGAAUACCUAUGGCGAAAGCAGUUUACUGGACCAUCACUGACUCUGAUCUGCGAAAGCUAGGGGAGCAAACAGGAUUAGAUACCCUGGUAGUCCUAGCCCUAAACGAUGCUCAUUAGGUGUGGGAGGUAUCGACCCCUUCCGCGCCGUAGCUAACGCAUUAAAUGAGCCGCCUGGGGAGUACGGCCGCAAGGUUG